RNAcentral lists this ribosomal RNA (429 nucleotides) under Chloroflexota bacterium. RNAcentral's name for it is "Chloroflexi bacterium partial 16S ribosomal RNA". It matches the Rfam family "Bacterial small subunit ribosomal RNA", at positions 355 to 776 of the family's 1533-position model. The record is from RNAcentral. Lineage: Bacteria; Bacillati; Chloroflexota.
UGGGGAAUAUUGCACAAUGGGCGCAAGCCUGAUGCAGCCAUGCCGCGUGUGUGAAGAAGGCCUUCGGGUUGUAAAGCACUUUCAGCGGGGAGGAAGGCGAUAAGGUUAAUAACCUUGUCGAUUGACGUUACCCGCAGAAGAAGCACCGGCUAACUCCGUGCCAGCAGCCGCGGUAAUACGGAGGGUGCAAGCGUUAAUCGGAAUCACUGGGCGUAAAGCGCACGCAGGCGGUCUGUCAAGUCGGAUGUGAAAUCCCCGGGCUCAACCUGGGAACUGCAUUCGAAACUGGCAGGCUAGAGUCUUGUAGAGGGGGGUAGAAUUCCAGGUGUAGCGGUGAAAUGCGUAGAGAUCUGGAGGAAUACCGGUGGCGAAGGCGGCCCCCUGGACAAAGACUGACGCUCAGGUGCGAAAGCGUGGGGAGCAAACAGG